AGAGUGGCGUCAAAUUCUCCUGCGUCCUGUGAUAUGCAUGAUACAGACCUAAAUGAAACUGGCAUUCUCUUGGGAAGGAAGAGUGGAGAAUGGGUGCUGGAUUGCAACUAACGGCAUCUACUACACUUUCCAGAUCUGCAUUGUAAGAAAAAUGAGAAGAAUUCCUUCAGGAAGAAGAAAAAUGAUACCAGAUGGAUAUGUGGAUCCACAUAAAGGAACGAAGAGCACAGGAAAUAGUAACUAUACUGGUAAAUAUGUAUUUUCUUACUAUUUAAAACUGUAUAAAAGAUAAUUAUUUCAAUAAA
RNAcentral lists this long non-coding RNA (305 nucleotides) under Homo sapiens (human). RNAcentral's name for it is "non-protein coding COX10-AS1:25". The record is from RNAcentral. Lineage: Eukaryota; Metazoa; Chordata; Mammalia; Primates; Hominidae.